RNAcentral lists this non-coding RNA (135 nucleotides) under Paraburkholderia terricola. Its description in RNAcentral is "SAH sequence". It matches the Rfam family "SAH (S-adenosyl-L-homocysteine) riboswitch aptamer". Lineage: Bacteria; Pseudomonadati; Pseudomonadota; Betaproteobacteria; Burkholderiales; Burkholderiaceae. The record is from RNAcentral.
GUCUUCGAGGAGCGUUGCGACGGGUACCGCGAAUCUGCAUUCGCCGGCCGCCCGCCAGGCUCGAAGGCUUCAAUCGGAAGGGUCGGAUGCGCAUCGCGCGUUCCGAUCCACCGCAUCGAACCGCGCUCACGUCAA